This 296-nucleotide small RNA is filed under the name Histoplasma ohiense. RNAcentral's name for it is "hypothetical lncRNA". The record is from RNAcentral. Lineage: Eukaryota; Fungi; Ascomycota; Eurotiomycetes; Onygenales; Ajellomycetaceae.
AACCACCAGUCUGUGCACAUCACUAGCCUCUUCCAUGAACCCUCUCAAUGUUCCUGAGCCCCCAAUCACGCCAAAUCAACCUCUGACAAACAAUGUUAGUCGAAGAGUUUGAAGAUUGUUUCCAGUGAUGCCAAAUAGCAAGGAGAAGAUUUUCCCCAGAAUCCUCACCAACCCCCACGUACUAGUAUAUAUUAGGCAUGGCAUAAUAAUUGUAUUGAAAUCAUCGUUCUGACCACCUGGUCCCCGGGAAAGAGAAAGAGAGUCAACACUCUACGGCUCAGUCAAAUUGCCCAAUC